AACGAACGCUGGCGGCAUGCCUAACACAUGCAAGUCGAACGAGGCCUUCGGGUCUAGUGGCGCACGGGUGCGUGACGCGUGGGAACCUGCCCUUAGGUUCGGAAUAACUCCCCGAAAGGGGUGCUAAUACCGGAUAAUGUCUUCGGACCAAAGAUUUAUCGCCUUUGGAUGGGCCCGCGUUGGAUUAGCUAGUUGGUAGGGUAAAAGCCUACCAAGGCGACGAUCCAUAGCUGGUCUGAGAGGAUGAUCAGCCACACUGGGACUGAGACACGGCCCAGACUCCUACGGGAGGCAGCAGUGGGGAAUAUUGGACAAUGGGCGAAAGCCUGAUCCAGCAAUGCCGCGUGAGUGAUGAAGGCCUUAGGGUUGUAAAGCUCUUUUACCCGGGAUGAUAAUGACAGUACCGGGAGAAUAAGCUCCGGCUAACUCCGUG
RNAcentral lists this ribosomal RNA (433 nucleotides) under uncultured bacterium. Its description in RNAcentral is "partial 16S ribosomal RNA". It matches the Rfam family "Bacterial small subunit ribosomal RNA", at positions 29 to 507 of the family's 1533-position model. The record is from RNAcentral.